RNAcentral lists this ribosomal RNA (568 nucleotides) under Pristimantis ridens (pygmy robber frog). Its description in RNAcentral is "partial 16S ribosomal RNA". It matches the Rfam family "Bacterial large subunit ribosomal RNA", at positions 1816 to 2597 of the family's 2925-position model. Lineage: Eukaryota; Metazoa; Chordata; Amphibia; Anura; Strabomantidae. The record is from RNAcentral.
CACCUUUUGUAACCCCAUAAAAGGCCCAGCCUGCCCAGUGACUUUGUUCAACGGCCGCGGUAUCCUAACCGUGCUAAGGUAGCGUAAUCACUUGUUUUCUAAAUAAAGACUAGUAUGAAAGGCACCACGAGGAUUAAACUGUCUCCUCUCUCUAAUCAGUGAAUCUAAUCUCUCCGUGCAGAAACGGGGAUAACUUUAUAAGACGAGAAGACCCUAUGGAGCUUUAAACAUUAUCACAAUGCCCCCUCCAAUCACCACACCACUAAGGUUUUCCCGCCUCGAGCACACUGAUUUUAUGUUUUAGGUUGGGGUGACCACGGAGAACAAAUUAUCCUCCAUAAUGAAAAGAAAUUUCUUCUUAAACAACAAGCCACAGCUUUAAUAAUCAAAAAUUUGACAUACAUUGACCCAAUAUUUUGACCAACGAACCAAGUUACCCUAGGGAUAACAGCGCAAUCCACUUCAAGAGCCCCUAUCGACAAGUGGGCUUACGACCUCGAUGUUGGAUCAGGGUAUCCUAGUGGUGCAGCCGCUACUAAAGGUUCGUUUGUUCAACGAUUAAAACCCU